AUGACAUCACUGACUAGUGGCCUCCUGAUCCGGGAAUCCACUGUAUAUGCUAUAGCGAGUGAGAUUGGUGUAGGGCCCUUCACCCAUAUCCGAGACCACGGAUCAGCAAGAGACAUGACAUCAGUGACCAGUGAAUCUACUGCAGGUGCCAUGGGUAAGAAAAUAUUUCUUUUCUUUCUAUUAUACUGGUAUUCAUCCUUGCUCUGGGCCCUUGUUUUCCAGCUUUCAAAUAUGAUAUGGACUCAUCUUCAUAGUCCGAGAACAGGAAAGUUUGUGAUUAGGUGGUAAGACCCGGCAACUUCCUCUGUCCCAUUAUUGUCUGCCCAGAUGUCAUCCUUUGGAUGAAGAGCUCAUGGAGGAUUUUGUCCAUUUCUUGUGUUAGUUUGUGUGUAUACAUAUAAUUUACUAUGAUAAAAGUCAGCUACUGGAGGACAGGCUUUUCUAUGCCCAGCACCUAAAACCCUGAAUGGAGUAGCUGAUUCUAAACAAAUGAUUACUGCUUCAUUUUCCAUUUAACCUGAGCAGGUAUCCAUCAGGCAGUUUGUCUGAGCCUGGAUCCCUAUCUCAUCUGAGGGCAAGAUGACAGGACAGAUCCAUCUACAUAUCAGUCUCUUCUUAUUUAAUACUUUCUCAUGGUGGCCAUGCACCCUAGAGCAAAAGUAGAUCCUAAUUUCUGUCAGUCUUUUUGUUUUGCAAGUGCUUGUCAAGGACAAGGUGCUAACGUGAGGGGUUGGGGACUCGGGACGUUCAAAAUCCUCACAGGCUCUGGGGAACUCUGUCCAAAUGGCUCCAAACUUCCCCCCCCCCCCCCAUAAUGUCACCACAGGAGAUGGACCCUCCCUGGGAACAGAACCUCAGACUCCUAUCCACGAAUCUCUGAGCCCAGGGCCAGGCUCCUUUCCUGCCUUAAGUACUCCCACAGCCUGCACAAGCACAGCUUCCCUGAAGGCUGCUACUUCAUUGGAGGACCCAGGGCCAGCCGGCCUGACUCCAUAGACUGAGAGAAACCCACAGGCAACACCAACUCCAGCUAUUACCCUGCCUCCAGCCAGCACACAGGAAGUUUGCACAACAGCAUCUCCCAGUCCUCCUGACACAACCACAGAGGGCAGCAGUGUCAAGGCAGGCACAGCCUCUGUUUCUGAUCAAGUGCCUUCCACUUCCUGCCUCUUCCCAAAUAAGCAUAUUUUAAAUAAGCUUCCCAGGGAGGGAAUUGGGUUGUGGCCUUGGAGGAAAUGGGGAGUGUCAGUCCAGGGAGGGUCAGUUUGUGCCUUUCUAAGGAGAAGGG
RNAcentral lists this long non-coding RNA (1288 nucleotides) under Monodelphis domestica (gray short-tailed opossum). Its description in RNAcentral is "lncRNA (ENSMODG00000043180.1)". Lineage: Eukaryota; Metazoa; Chordata; Mammalia; Didelphimorphia; Didelphidae. The record is from RNAcentral.